This is a long non-coding RNA of Cyprinus carpio carpio, 1226 nucleotides long. The record is from Ensembl. Lineage: Eukaryota; Metazoa; Chordata; Actinopteri; Cypriniformes; Cyprinidae.
CUGUUUCAGAUAAACAAAACCAUAAUAUCUUUACAGACAUUGUUCAUUAAAACCGUCAUAUCUCAUGCAGGAGUAGCAUGUUUUUGACAGUUUUCUGACGAGUGCAUCUAUGAAUUACGGUCGGUCACCCCCUAGCGUCUCUCUUCCCCGCGAAUUUACGGUGACAAGGGUCGGAGCGACCCUUGCUCAGCUUCCCACCUAUUGAACAAGUUCAUUCAUAGAACAAGGAUGACACCCAGCGGUCACUCAACACCGAUUUCCUUCACGGACACCUUUAUAAAUUUGACGCGUUCAAACGAUCACUUGAACCAGAAAACUUUCUCGGACGGCUCUCCAAGACAAUGGAUAAAAGUGAGUAUUUUAUCAUGUCAUGUUAUCUGAUGGUAGUGAUAUUUAAAUACUAUUAAUUGAUCAAAGUAUGUUAUGCUAUUUUUACAGUCUACGAUGUUAUAGCGUUUUUUUAAACCAUAUUACAUUUCAUUCCUGUAAUUUUCUUCAAGUUAUGCUGUUUUAUUUCAACUGCUGAUAGAGAUAUUUUAACACUAUAUUCAUAAAGUAUGUGUUAUUUGAAUUAAUAUCGACGCAUCUAUCGUCCCAAUCACCGCCAGACUGUUUGUAUGAAAAACACACUUUUAUUUUGAAAAGACGGCGACAUCCUGUUGAAAAUACUUUCAUUUUGAAAAUAUGACGACAUCCUGUUGAAAAUACUUUUAUUUUGAAAAGACGAGGAUAUCCUGUUGAAAAUACUUUUAUUUUGAAAAGACGAGGAUAUCCUGUCGCUUAGCUUUUGUGCUUCAGUUCAGUUCGCUAUGUAUAGGAUUUCAGAAAACCAAUUCUGUGUCCAUUAAAUCGACGUUUUACCACCGCGUUAUCCGUUCGUCAUCUAUGAACACGAUUUUCCCGGUUGCUAACUGCUCUCGGUGAAACGGAUAUGAUGGUGAAAUGGCUCCCUCCGGUUCAAAUAUUGAGCAGCAAGCCUUUGACGGUAUUAAUACAUCGCUCGUGAUUGAUCCAGACAGCGCAGCCGCUGGUAAAACAAGAUCCAUCUCCAACAUUUUUUAUGAGAAAUCAAAAUUUUAGAGAGACUCUAUUUUAAAUGACCCACUCAGAGGAGGGGGUAGUUACAGACCAGAAGAUCUGAGGUGUUAUUCUGUUAACCUUUUUUCAAACCGCAUGUUAUGGCUGUAUUAAUAAUGAAUUCAAAGUCUAAUCUUAAGACUUUAAAU